Pipra filicauda (Wire-tailed manakin) is the source of this 308-nucleotide long non-coding RNA. RefSeq lists it as uncharacterized. Lineage: Eukaryota; Metazoa; Chordata; Aves; Passeriformes; Pipridae. The transcript is spliced from 2 exons. The record is from RefSeq and is a predicted model, not a curated record.
UGAGAUGGUUUUUUUUCCCAAGUAUUCCCUCUGUUGAACCAGGCGCUUGGUGGAAUGCAGCCAAACAUGGACACACAUCCACGAGGCAUGAACCCAACCACUUACAUGGAUCGCUAAGGGACCGUGGGCAGAAGAAUGCCAGCCCUUCUACCAUGUCAGAGGAGUCCUGAGGAACUGGAAUUAAGAUUCUCUCUCGAAAGAAUUAUGAAACAAAUAUGUAAAACUGGAGAGGAGGAGGAAGCUGAUGAAAUCUGUUGUGUGAGCCACUUCCAAGAUGUCAACUUACAUAAAUUAAGUAUUUUUCUGUU